CACCAGGUUUGGUCCUAGCCUCAGUAUUAAUUUGAUUCAAACUUACACAUGCAAGUUUCCGCACUCCAGUGCGAUUGCCCUUACUUAUCCCUUUAGAAAUUAAGGAGCGGAUAUCAGGCUCGCCCCUGCAGCCCAAGACACCUUGCUCAGCCACGCCCCCACGGGACCUCAGCAGUGAUUAAUAUUAGUAAAUGAACGAAAGUUCGAUCCAGUUAUGGUUUUAAGGGCCGGUCAAUCUCGUGCCAGCUACCGCGGUUAUACGAGCGGCCCAAAUUAAUAAGAUUAACGGCGUAAAGAGUGUAUAAAGAUGUAAUCUUCCCCCUUUAAAGCUGAAAUACUGCCCAACUGUUAUACGUACUCGCAUUAAUGAAAAACAAUUAUGAAAAUAGCUUUAUAUAAAUAAGAUAUCUCGUAUCACGAUAGCUAAAAACCAAACUGGGAUUAGAUACCCCACUAUGUUUAGCCUUAAACCUAGGUGUUUAAAUUACCACAACACCCGCCAGAGAACUACGAGCGCCAGCUUAAAACCCAAAGGACUUGGCGGUGCCUUAGACCCCCCUAGAGGAGCCUGUUCUAGAACCGAUAAUCCCCGUUUAACCUCACCACCCCUUGCUAUUACAGCCUAUAUACCGCCGUCGCCAGCUUGCCCUAUGAAGGAAAAACAGCAAGCAUAAAGAAUUACCUCCAAAACGUCAGGUCGAGGUGUAGCAUAUGGGAUGGGAAGAAAUGAGCUACAUUUUCUUUAAAGACUAACAGAUAAAUAAUGAAAUAAAUUUGAAGUUGGAUUUAGUAGUAAGAAUUAAAUAGUAUAUUAAUCUGAAAACGGCUCUGAGGCGCGCACACACCGCCCGUCACUCUCCUCAAUACUAACCUUAUCUAUUUAUAAUAAAAUUUUACAAUAAGAGGAGGCAAGUCGUAACAUGGUAAGUGUACUGGAAAGUGCACUUGGAAU
RNAcentral lists this non-coding RNA (952 nucleotides) under Callorhinchus capensis (Cape elephantfish). Its description in RNAcentral is "12S ribosomal RNA". It matches the Rfam family "Bacterial small subunit ribosomal RNA". Lineage: Eukaryota; Metazoa; Chordata; Chondrichthyes; Chimaeriformes; Callorhinchidae. The record is from RNAcentral.